This 153-nucleotide ribosomal RNA is filed under the name Platanthera chlorantha. RNAcentral's name for it is "5.8S ribosomal RNA". It matches the Rfam family "5.8S ribosomal RNA". Rfam says of the family: 5.8S ribosomal RNA (5.8S rRNA) is a component of the large subunit of the eukaryotic ribosome. The record is from RNAcentral. Lineage: Eukaryota; Viridiplantae; Streptophyta; Magnoliopsida; Asparagales; Orchidaceae.
UCGGCAAUGGAUAUCUUGGCUCUCGCAUCGAUGAAGAGCGCAGCGAAAUGCGAUACGUGGUGCGAAUUGCAGAAUCCCGUGAACCAUCGAGUUUUUGAACGCAAGUUGCGCCUGAGGCCAACUGGCCAAGGGCACGUCCGCCUGGGCGUCAAG